GUGGCUAGAGUGGUCCUUUAAGAGUGUAGUGUGUGCGUGUAUACACAUAUAUAUAUAUAUUUGGAAGUAUUGUGUAUGUUUGUGGUGCAGUGUGUUGGGGGGGUUCUGUGUGUAUGUGAGGGGUGCAGUAUGUGUGUGUGAGAGUGCGGUGUGUGAUGGGUGUGAGAGUGCCGUGUGUGAGUGAUGGGUGUGAGAGUGCCGUGUGUGAG
Non-coding RNA from Pelobates cultripes (western spadefoot toad), 209 nucleotides. NCBI's taxonomy places the organism in Eukaryota, Metazoa, Chordata, Amphibia, Anura, Pelobatidae. The record is from the annotation of a GenBank genome assembly.